Molecule: ribosomal RNA, 1369 nt
Filed under: uncultured bacterium
Lineage: Bacteria
Description: bacterial SSU rRNA
Rfam family: Bacterial small subunit ribosomal RNA
Source: RNAcentral
GACGAACGCUGGCGGCGUGCCUAAUACAUGCAAGUAGAACGCUGAAGAGAGGAGCUUGCUCUUCUUGGAUGAGUUGCGAACGGGUGAGUAACGCGUAGGUAACCUGCCUUGUAGCGGGGGAUAACUAUUGGAAACGAUAGCUAAUACCGCAUAACAAUGGAUGACACAUGUCAUUUAUUUGAAAGGGGCAAUUGCUCCACUACAAGAUGGACCUGCGUUGUAUUAGCUAGUAGGUGAGGUAACGGCUCACCUAGGCGACGAUACAUAGCCGACCUGAGAGGGUGAUCGGCCACACUGGGACUGAGACACGGCCCAGACUCCUACGGGAGGCAGCAGUAGGGAAUCUUCGGCAAUGGGGGCAACCCUGACCGAGCAACGCCGCGUGAGUGAAGAAGGUUUUCGGAUCGUAAAGCUCUGUUGUAAGUCAAGAACGAGUGUGAGAGUGGAAAAUUCACACUGUGACGGUAGCUUACCAGAAAGGGACGGCUAACUACGUGCCAGCAGCCGCGGUAAUACGUAGGUCCCGAGCGUUGUCCGGAUUUAUUGGGCGUAAAGCGAGCGCAGGCGGUUUGAUAAGUCUGAAGUUAAAGGCUGUGGCUCAACCAUAGUUCGCUUUGGAAACUGUCAAACUUGAGUGCAGAAGGGGAGAGUGGAAUUCCAUGUGUAGCGGUGAAAUGCGUAGAUAUAUGGAGGAACACCGGUGGCGAAAGCGGCUCUCUGGUCUGUAACUGACGCUGAGGCUCGAAAGCGUGGGGAGCGAACAGGAUUAGAUACCCUGGUAGUCCACGCCGUAAACGAUGAGUGCUAGGUGUUGGAUCCUUUCCGGGAUUCAGUGCCGCAGCUAACGCAUUAAGCACUCCGCCUGGGGAGUACGACCGCAAGGUUGAAACUCAAAGGAAUUGACGGGGGCCCGCACAAGCGGUGGAGCAUGUGGUUUAAUUCGAAGCAACGCGAAGAACCUUACCAGGUCUUGACAUCCCGAUGCUAUUUCUAGAGAUAGAAAGUUACUUCGGUACAUCGGUGACAGGUGGUGCAUGGUUGUCGUCAGCUCGUGUCGUGAGAUGUCGGGUUAAGUCCCGCAACGAGCGCAACCCCUAUUGUUAGUUGCCAUCAUUCAGUUGGGCACUCUAGCGAGACUGCCGGUAAUAAACCGGAGGAAGGUGGGGAUGACGUCAAAUCAUCAUGCCCCUUAUGACCUGGGCUACACACGUGCUACAAUGGUUGGUACAACGAGUUGCGAGUCGGUGACGGCAAGCUAAUCUCUUAAAGCCAAUCUCAGUUCGGAUUGUAGGCUGCAACUCGCCUACAUGAAGUCGGAAUCGCUAGUAAUCGCGGAUCAGCACGCCGCGGUGAAUACGUUCCCGGGCCU